UUAAGUUAGAAAGGGCGCACGGUGGAUGCCUUGACACUAGGAGUCGAUGAAGGACGGGACUAACGCCGAUAUGCUUCGGGGAGCUGUAAGUAAGCUUUGAUCCGAAGAUUUCCGAAUGGGGAAACCCACCAUACGUAAUGGUAUGGUAUCCUUAUCUGAAUACAUAGGGUAAGGAAGACAGACCCAGGGAACUGAAACAUCUAAGUACCUGGAGGAAGAGAAAGCAAAUGCGAUUUCCUGAGUAGCGGCGAGCGAAACGGAACAUAGCCCAAACCAAGAGGCUUGCCUCUUGGGGUUGUAGGACAUUCUAUACGGAGUUACAAAGGAACGAGGUAGACGAAGCGACCUGGAAAGGUCCGUCGUAGAGGGUAACAACCCCGUAGUCGAAACUUCGUUCUCUCUUGAAUGUAUCCUGAGUACGGCGGAACACGUGAAAUUCCGUCGGAAUCUGGGAGGACCAUCUCCCAAGGCUAAAUACUCCCUAGUGAUCGAUAGUGAACCAGUACCGUGAGGGAAAGGUGAAAAGCACCCCGGAAGGGGAGUGAAAGAGAUCCUGAAACCGUGUGCCUACAAAUAGUCAGAGCCCGUUAACGGGUGAUGGCGUGCCUUUUGUAGAAUGAACCGGCGAGUUACGAUCCCGUGCGAGGUUAAGCUGAAGAGGCGGAGCCGCAGCGAAAGCGAGUCUGAAUAGGGCGUUUAGUACGUGGUCGUAGACCCGAAACCAGGUGAUCUACCCAUGUCCAGGGUGAAGUUCAGGUAACACUGAAUGGAGGCCCGAACCCACGCACGUUGAAAAGUGCGGGGAUGAGGUGUGGGUAGCGGAGAAAUUCCAAUCGAACCUGGAGAUAGCUGGUUCUCCCCGAAAUAGCUUUAGGGCUAGCCUUAAGUGUAAGAGUCUUGGAGGUAGAGCACUGAUUGGACUAGGGGUCCUCAUCGGAUUACCGAAUUCAGUCAAACUCCGAAUGCCAAUGACUUAUCCUUAGGAGUCAGACUGCGAGUGAUAAGAUCCGUAGUCAAAAGGGAAACAGCCCAGACCGCCAGCUAAGGUCCCAAAGUGUGUAUUAAGUGGAAAAGGAUGUGGAGUUGCUUAGACAACUAGGAUGUUGGCUUAGAAGCAGCCACCAUUUAAAGAGUGCGUAAUAGCUCACUAGUCGAGUGACUCUGCGCCGAAAAUGUACCGGGGCUAAAUACACCACCGAAGCUGCGGAUUGAUACCAAUGGUAUCAGUGGUAGGGGAGCGUUCUAAGGACAGUGAAGUCAGACCGGAAGGACUGGUGGAGUGCUUAGAAGUGAGAAUGCCGGUAUGAGUAGCGAAAGACGGGUGAGAAUCCCGUCCACCGAAUGCCUAAGGUUUCCUGAGGAAGGCUCGUCCGCUCAGGGUUAGUCAGGACCUAAGCCGAGGCCGACAGGCGUAGGCGAUGGACAACAGGUUGAUAUUCCUGUACCACCUCUUUAUCGUUUGAGCAAUGGAGGGACGCAGAAGGAUAGAAGAAGCGUGCGAUUGGUUGUGCACGUCCAAGCAGUUAGGCUGAUAAGUAGGCAAAUCCGCUUAUCGUAAAGGCUGAGCUGUGAUGGGGAAGCUCCUUAUGGAGCGAAGUCUUUGAUUCCCCGCUGCCAAGAAAAGCUUCUAGCGAGAUAAAAGGUGCCUGUACCGCAAACCGACACAGGUAGGCGAGGAGAGAAUCCUAAGGUGUGCGAGAGAACUCUGGUUAAGGAACUCGGCAAAAUGACCCCGUAACUUCGGGAGAAGGGGUGCUUUCUUAACGGAAAGCCGCAGUGAAUAGGCCCAAGCGACUGUUUAGCAAAAACACAGCUCUCUGCGAAGCCGUAAGGCGAAGUAUAGGGGGUGACACCUGCCCGGUGCUGGAAGGUUAAGGAGAGGGGUUAGCGUAAGCGAAGCUCUGAACUGAAGCCCCAGUAAACGGCGGCCGUAACUAUAACGGUCCUAAGGUAGCGAAAUUCCUUGUCGGGUAAGUUCCGACCCGCACGAAAGG
RNAcentral lists this ribosomal RNA (1994 nucleotides) under Streptococcus pneumoniae. RNAcentral describes it as "bacterial LSU rRNA". It matches the Rfam family "Bacterial large subunit ribosomal RNA", at positions 3 to 1999 of the family's 2925-position model. Lineage: Bacteria; Bacillati; Bacillota; Bacilli; Lactobacillales; Streptococcaceae. The record is from RNAcentral.